UACGUAGGGAGCGAGCGUUGUUCGGAUUUACUGGGCGUAAAGGGCGCGUAGGCGGCAAUUCAAGUCAUCUGUGAAAUCUCCGGGCUUAACUCGGAACGGUCAGAUGAUACUGCUUUGCUAGAGUACAGAAGGGGCAAUCGGAAUUCUUGGUGUAGCGGUGAAAUGCGUAGAUAUCAAGAGGAACACCUGAGGUGAAGACGGGUUGCUGGGCUGAUACUGACGCUGAGGCGCGAAAGCUAGGGUAGCAAACGGG
Molecule: ribosomal RNA, 253 nt
Filed under: uncultured bacterium
Lineage: Bacteria
Description: partial 16S ribosomal RNA
Rfam family: Bacterial small subunit ribosomal RNA
Source: RNAcentral